This is a non-coding RNA of Myotis brandtii (Brandt's bat), 60 nucleotides long. NCBI's taxonomy places the organism in Eukaryota, Metazoa, Chordata, Mammalia, Chiroptera, Vespertilionidae. The record is from Rfam.
GGGAAACGAGGCGGGGGCUGGGGGCACGAGCCACCCCGAGUCCUAAGCAGUACAGGCUCA